CUUUGGAGUAUGAACUCCACUGAGCCCACUGUCGUAAUAAAGGUUUUUCUCCACCUCUUCAAGUGACCAUCAGAUGCUCGAGUCUUCAAAUUGCAAUAGCUGUGAUGCUGAGCUGUGACACUCUGCUGUAACACUGAGCUCUAACACUUGGCUGUGCCUCAGAGCUGUAACACUUGGCUAUAGCACUGAGCUGUUCUGCUUUGCCACAACACCCAGAGCACUGGGAUUACAGGUGUAGCCCACAUUAGCUCAGAGGGAAUGUUGUAUAUUUUUGGGGGGUACCAGGGUUUGAACUCAGGACCUUGUGCUUGUGAGGCAGGCGGUGGAACCACUGAGCUAAAUCCCCAGCCUGGGAAUGUUGUAUUAAAUCAUCACUGCCAGACCAUCAGUUUUCUCUCUGAAGAUACACACCAGGUCAUGGAGCAGAAGCGGUAAACUCACAGAGGUGCUGAAUGACCAACAAGUGACAAGAACCUGUUGAUGUGAGUGUAACAAGGGCAGAAGUCAGUUGGAUCCAGACUACAAGUAGCAGAUUAUCCUGAGCUUCAUCAGAUGGUAACUCUAAUUGCAACUGCUGCCCUAGAUAAAAUUCUUUCCUGAAGAAAAUUAGUGCAGCCUCUGGUACCUGAUAGAGGUUACUGAGUCAGCAAUUUCUUUCCUCUAGCCCAGCGCACAGAGAACACGAAAGGCAGUGGGCGCUUAUCUGACACGGACUCAGCCCCGGCACAGUGUCCACACAGGAGGUCGUGUUUGGCACUGGGCUGGCAUUUCACGUGCAGAGCCCUUUGUCAUCGUCUCAUAACCCAUGGGGGUCAGCCUGGCCACCACCCUGACUUGACCUGCAGUCGGGAAGGACCAGGGAGAACAGAGCUGCUUUGUAUGUCCGGAAUCUUCCGAUCAGCACCUGUCUGGGUUGCUAUGUAUGUAUCCACGUUGACAGUUCAUGUACUGCAGUGUAUUUAUCACCUCCCUUUCGAAUUGAACUGAGAACUCUAAGCGCCUGAUUUAAACCAUCAGCUGGAGAGCUUGCUGAGGCAGGCACAGCUGAAAGGCUUGGGCUCUGUGGUUGCCGAGCAAGACCUGAGCAGUCAGUCGCCCCUUGAACUGUAGGGCUCUGCACCUUGCUUCCCUAUGCUCACCACUUGUGGUAUUUGGAACUGGAUAGAGCCAGAAAUUCCAAAAAGAAGCCACCUCAGCAAAAUCAACAAUCUGUUUUUCCUUGAAAAUUCAAAGACGCACUAGACAAAUGAGUCCCUCUGAAAAGCUGUCCUUUUGUAAAGGAAAAUGAUAUCUACAAAGAAAAAUGAUCACCAGACAAGGUACCGGGAAGAGAGGCUUCAGACAACUUCUACAGCCUGAAAGCCUUUCAUCUACAAAAAGCAAACUGCUUUAUCCACCGUCCAUUUCCUUCUCUCCCUCUUAUAAUUUGUCUCCAUCUGCCCCAGAAGCCCGGUGCUCUUCCUGCCCUCAGGAUGCUCUAUAAACCUCGGUCAUGGGACCUUUCUGUGUGUCUCAUACUUUGGUGGGAUUUCCAUGUGUGAGAAAGCAGUUACAAUGGUUUCUCUCCUAUGUCAGUUUAAACUGUAGCCAAAGACGCCAGGAGGGCAGAGAGAAGCCAAGGGUCCCUCUCCCCAAAGGCAAGGCGAUGGGGUGGGAACUUGGAGGGGCCAGAGGAAGGGCAGAGAACCUAGUGGGAGACACUGACCCCUGGCCCCAGACAGAGCCAAGCCUCCGAGGGACGAAGGCCACCUCCCGGUUUCCUGUGCAAGGUGCUAACUACAUGGGGAAGGUCACCACUUACCGGUCUGUGGGAGAGAAUCUAGGUCCGCAAGUUUGGUCUGGGUGAGGACGGGGAACUUGGACCACAGCAGAGUACAGCGAUGUACUGUAGCUGGCCCGGCCAUUGUACUUCUGUCUCCUAGAAGCCUAUAGCCACCUGAAGGAAGGUGAAGUGCUCUGUGGCUGCACAGCAUGAGCACCACUUCCUCUGAGACCCCAGUCAGGAGAGAGGUUCCACACAUCCCUGGGGGAGCUCUUCCUGGAGCUGGGCAGAAAGGACAACAAACACGUUUCCACCAAGUAUCCAACGCCAUCAUAACCCCCUGACCACAUGGCCACAGGCGGCAAGUGUAGGCCACUCAGGAGCAUGGGGAGGACAGUGUGAGGGUUCCCAUGACCUCAGCCUGAUGCUGUCCACACUGGAGAAACAGCUCCCUCCGCUAAGUGAGCCCAGGCACCUGCUUUCUGGUACUGGAGGAACAGCUCUGGAGGCAUGCAAGGGAACAUGCUUCCAGAGCAGAUCUGCCGCUGGGCAUCUGACUGUCCCUGAACUACAGGGAGUCCAGAGGAACAGUGACGGUGAGGACAAGAACGAGGGGUCAGCAGCAGCUCCACUCCUGUUGUUCUUCACAGUUUACAGCUGGAGGGCACUCUUGGGCAUCCCCCUCCCUGCUGUGGCAUCUCCAACUCCUGCUUUUUCUCUUGUGAAAGUGGAGGCCGUUCUUGGCAAGUCUCUUUCUUUCUAGCUGAUAUUCUAGAGUCAACUUUGACGAUGCCUCUUCCUUCUCUUGCUUCAGCAAGCACAUUGUCUGCUUCCCCAUUGACAAAUCUCCAUCCAGCUCCUUCCCCCCUGCUGUGCCCACUUAACACACCAGGUUAGGAGUGAAGGGUGCAAGGAAAUGUGAGAUUCAGUCCCUGUGAUCAGGAUGUCACUGUGAGCUAACCAAUAUGUCAGGAUGGAAGGACCUCCACUAUUUUGGUAAAAUAGACUCAGUGUGUUGGUUGGAAAGUUUCGUUUCGGCUUGAUUUGAUUUGAUUUUUCCAUGAUCAACACUUUGAUGAGAUACUGCUCUUCUCAAACCUUUCUUUAACCACCAAAGACUCCCCCAAAAUCUCUGAUGUACACUUACAUACAAUAUCUUAGGUGCCCGGCUAAGGGCUUCAUAACAACGGGCUCCUGGGCUGAGGUGUAGCUCAGUGGUAGAGCACUUGCAGAGCGUGUAUGAGGCCUUGAGUUUGAUCUGUAGACACACACACACACACACAAAUAAUAAUAGUUCUUAUGAUAAAUACAGCUGAUAAAAUUUCCAGAAUGUUCUAAAUUUAAUCGCAAAGACCACAGGGUGGUAGUGGGUUAGUCAGCUAACAGCUGCUGGCAAAACCAACAAGAAGACUGCUUAUGUUUGAAUGGGAUUUAUGAUUUAAACACCAGGGCUUUAUUGCUGUACACAUAAACUCUCUGGACCAUUGAUACCAACCAAUCCAAGAGCAACAAGAAGAACUACUUCUCCUUCUCCUUCUCCUUCUUCUCCUCCUCCUCCUUCUUCUUUUCUUUGUUUUAGCUUUGGAGCUGGGGAUUGAACCCAGCAAGCUCACACAUGCUAAGUGCGUGUUCUACCCCGAGCUCCACCCGAGCCUGCUUGUCCUCAGUCCUCCUGUCCCUCCUGUGCCUGCUGCACCUGAUCCACCCCUCCUAUCUAGAAUCAGUGCAGGUUACUCUGUAGGAAGUGCUUUCCUUCUCCCAAGUUUAUUAAAAAUGCUCUGAGUUCUGGCCUGGUGACAUUUUCCAACUGCCACCUGGCCCUGCUGCUGGUAAUUGUGGAAACUCGUCCCAGGACCUGGUGCCUUUUCUGCCUAACAUCUCUAAUGGCUCAAGAAACUCUUUCAUUUCAGAGAUCCUUUGGUCUCUAGAGUUUCAACCUCACAUAUAAUUUUGAUAUGAUGUACAUUUCCUUAGCCAG
Long non-coding RNA from Heterocephalus glaber (naked mole-rat), 3740 nucleotides. The record is from Ensembl. Lineage: Eukaryota; Metazoa; Chordata; Mammalia; Rodentia; Bathyergidae.